Molecule: small RNA, 29 nt
Filed under: Bombyx mori (domestic silkworm)
Lineage: Eukaryota; Metazoa; Arthropoda; Insecta; Lepidoptera; Bombycidae
Description: ovarian small RNA-8030
Source: RNAcentral
UGAAUUUGCUGAGAAGAUUAGUCAAGAUU